GGCUUACCCACUUGCUGUCGGAAAUUGGGUAAAUAAUACCCACGUCAAGCAACUUGAGGACUUCUGCCUUAACCACAUCUCUCAUCAUAGGAUUCAACCUUCGUUGCAUUUGCCUUGUGGUUUUGGCAUUGUCCUCCAAAUAUAUCCGGUGCGUGCAAACUAAGGGGCUAAUCCCCUUCAAGUCGGCAAUAGACCACCCUAA
RNAcentral lists this long non-coding RNA (202 nucleotides) under Phoenix dactylifera (date palm). RNAcentral describes it as "long non-coding RNA (PDAC_LNC016854)". Lineage: Eukaryota; Viridiplantae; Streptophyta; Magnoliopsida; Arecales; Arecaceae. The record is from RNAcentral.